GUAGAAGGUGGGAAGCAG
RNAcentral lists this unclassified non-coding RNA (18 nucleotides) under Mus musculus (house mouse). RNAcentral's name for it is "oocyte_clustered_small_RNA8135". Lineage: Eukaryota; Metazoa; Chordata; Mammalia; Rodentia; Muridae. The record is from RNAcentral.